GAUGAACGCUGGCGGCGUGCCUAAUACAUGCAAGUCGAGCGAACGGACGAGAAGCUUGCUUCUCUGAUGUUAGCGUCGGACGUGUGAGUAACACGUUGAUAACCUACCUAUAAGUCUUGGAUAACUUCGGGAAACCGGAGCUAAUACCGGAUAAUAUUUUGAACCGCAUUGUUCAAAAGUUAAAGACGGUCUUUCUGUCACUUAUAGAUUUAUCCGCGCUGCAUUAGCUAGUUGGUAAGGUAACGGCUUACCAAGGCAACGAUGCAUAGACGACCUGAGAGGGUGAUCGGCAACAGUGGAACGGAGACACGGUCCAGACUCCAACGGGAGGAAGCAGUAGGGAAUCUUCCGCAAUGGGCGAAAGCAUGACGGAGCAACGCCGCGUGAGAGAUGAAGGUCUUCGGAUCGUAAAACUCUGUUAUUAGGGAAGAACAUAUGUGUAAGUAACUGUGCACAUCUUGACGGUACCUAAUCAGAAAGCCACGGCUAACUACGUG
RNAcentral lists this ribosomal RNA (497 nucleotides) under uncultured bacterium. Its description in RNAcentral is "partial 16S ribosomal RNA". It matches the Rfam family "Bacterial small subunit ribosomal RNA", at positions 28 to 507 of the family's 1533-position model. The record is from RNAcentral.